This 301-nucleotide ribosomal RNA is filed under the name uncultured bacterium. Its description in RNAcentral is "partial 16S ribosomal RNA". It matches the Rfam family "Bacterial small subunit ribosomal RNA", at positions 509 to 807 of the family's 1533-position model. The record is from RNAcentral.
CAGUCGCCGCGGUAAUACGUAGGUGGCAAGCGUUGUCCGGAAUUAUUGGGCGUAAAGGGCUCGCAGGCGGUUUCUUAAGUCUGAUGUGAAAGCCCCCGGCUCAACCGGGGAGGGUCAUUGGAAACUGGGAAACUUGAGUGCAGAAGAGGAGAGUGGAAUUCCACGUGUAGCGGUGGAAUGCGUAGAGAUGUGGAGGAACACCAGUGGCGAAGGCGACUCUCUGGGCCGACGUUGACACUGAGAGACAAACGCUAGGGGAGAAAAUGGGAUUAGAUACCCCGGUAGUCCCUGUCUCUUAUAC